ACGAACGCUGGCGGCGUGCUUAACACAUGCAAGUCGAACGGAAAGGCCCUGCUUUUGUGGGGUGCUCGAGUGGCGAACGGGUGAGUAACACGUGAGUAACCUGCCCUUGACUUUGGGAUAACUUCAGGAAACUGGGGCUAAUACCGGAUAGGAGCUCCUGCUGCAUGGUGGGGGUUGGAAAGUUUCGGCGGUUGGGGAUGGACUCGCGGCUUAUCAGCUUGUUGGUGGGGUAGUGGCUUACCAAGGCUUUGACGGGUAGCCGGCCUGAGAGGGUGACCGGCCACAUUGGGACUGAGCUACGGCCCAGACUCCUACGGGAGGCAGCAGUGGGGAAUAUUGCACAAUGGGCGGAAGCCUGAUGCAGCAACGCCGCGUGCGGGAUGACGGCCUUCGGGUUGUAAACCGCUUUCGCCUGUGACGAAGCGUAAGUGACGGUAAUGGGUAAAGAAGCACCGGCUAACUACGUG
Molecule: ribosomal RNA, 467 nt
Filed under: uncultured bacterium
Lineage: Bacteria
Description: partial 16S ribosomal RNA
Rfam family: Bacterial small subunit ribosomal RNA
Source: RNAcentral